Molecule: ribosomal RNA, 492 nt
Filed under: uncultured bacterium
Lineage: Bacteria
Description: partial 16S ribosomal RNA
Rfam family: Bacterial small subunit ribosomal RNA
Source: RNAcentral
AGUGAACGCUGGCGGUAGGCCUAACACAUGCAAGUCGAACGGCAGCACAGUAAGAGCUUGCUCUUACGGGUGGCGAGUGGCGGACGGGUGAGGAAUACAUCGGAAUCUACUUUUUCGUGGGGGAUAACGUAGGGAAACUUACGCUAAUACCGCAUACGACCUACGGGUGAAAGCAGGGGAUCUUCGGACCUUGCGCGAUUGAAUGAGCCGAUGUUGGAUUAGCUAGUUGGCGGGGUAAAGGCCCACCAAGGCGACGAUCCGUAGCUGGUCUGAGAGGAUGAUCAGCCACACUGGAACUGAGACACGGUCCAGACUCCUACGGGAGGCAGCAGUGGGGAAUAUUAGACAAUGGGCGCAAGCCUGAUCCAGCCAUACCGCGUGGGUGAAGAAGGCCUUCGGGUUGUAAAGCCCUUUUGUUGGGAAAGAAAAGCAGCAGGUUAAUACCCCGCUGUUCUGACGGUACCCAAAGAAUAAGCACCGGCUAACUUCGUG